AUAUAGCUCAGCGGUAGAGCACUUGCCUAGCAUGUUUUACAAAGCCCUGGGUUCAAUCCCCAGUAU
This 66-nucleotide transfer RNA is filed under the name Ictidomys tridecemlineatus (thirteen-lined ground squirrel). RNAcentral describes it as "Spermophilus tridecemlineatus (thirteen-lined ground squirrel) tRNA". It matches the Rfam family "tRNA", at positions 5 to 66 of the family's 71-position model. Rfam says of the family: Transfer RNA (tRNA) molecules are approximately 80 nucleotides in length. Their secondary structure includes four short double-helical elements and three loops (D, anti-codon, and T loops). Lineage: Eukaryota; Metazoa; Chordata; Mammalia; Rodentia; Sciuridae. The record is from Rfam by way of RNAcentral.